Molecule: ribosomal RNA, 497 nt
Filed under: uncultured bacterium
Lineage: Bacteria
Description: partial 16S ribosomal RNA
Rfam family: Bacterial small subunit ribosomal RNA
Source: RNAcentral
GACGAACGCUGGCGGCGUGCCUAAUACAUGCAAGUAGAACGCUGAAGCGAGGAGCUUGCUCUUCUUGGAUGAGUUGCGAACGGGUGAGUAACGCGUAGGUAACCUGCCUUGUAGCGGGGGAUAACUAUUGGAAACGAUAGCUAAUACCGCAUAACAAUGGAUGACACAUGUCAUUUAUUUGAAAGGGGCAAUUGCUCCACUACAAGACGGACCUGCGUUGUAUUAGCUAGUAGGUGAGGUAACGGCUCACCUAGGCGACGAUACAUAGCCGACCUGAGAGGGUGGUCGGCCACACUGGGACUGAGACACGGCCCAGACUCCUACGGGAGGCAGCAGUAGGGAAUCUUCGGCAAUGGGGGCAAAGCUGACCGAGCAACGCCGCGUGAGUGAAGAAGGUUUUCGGAUCGUAAAGCUCUGUUGUAAGUCAAGAACGAGUGUGAGAGUGGAAAGUUCACACUGUGACGGUAGCUUACCAGAAAGGGACGGCUAACUACGUG